This is a long non-coding RNA of Cucurbita maxima (winter squash), 399 nucleotides long. RefSeq lists it as uncharacterized. The record is from RefSeq and is a predicted model, not a curated record. The transcript has 2 exons. NCBI's taxonomy places the organism in Eukaryota, Viridiplantae, Streptophyta, Magnoliopsida, Cucurbitales, Cucurbitaceae.
UCUGCGCUCUAUUGGCCAUUUCGGAUUAUUUACAGAUUCAAACAAAAUUAAUCGAGACCAUUAGGAUCGAAUAUGCAACUAUCGAAUUCUCACUUCGGUGUUCAUCUAGCUUAAGAACGUGACCCGUGUUAGAUGAAAGUGUUCCACAUUAAUUAAUUUAGGAAGUGAUCAUGUGUUUAUAAUUAAAUAAUACAUUUUUUUAUUGGUGUUAAGGCCUUUUGAGGAAGUUCAAAGAAAGUGGACAAUAUGCUACCAUUGUGGAGAGUCAUGUUCGUCUAACAACCAUAACUACCCAACCCUUAAAAAUCUUGGGUAAGUGACUGUCUUCACCUUUUUUGUUUGUUGGGUCAACUAUUUUAAGGUUUGUAACUGAUGUUAAUGAUAAAAUGCAAGAUGUUU